RNAcentral lists this ribosomal RNA (2906 nucleotides) under Klebsiella oxytoca. Its description in RNAcentral is "23S ribosomal RNA". It matches the Rfam family "Bacterial large subunit ribosomal RNA". The record is from RNAcentral. Lineage: Bacteria; Pseudomonadati; Pseudomonadota; Gammaproteobacteria; Enterobacterales; Enterobacteriaceae.
GGUUAAGCGACUAAGCGUACACGGUGGAUGCCCUGGCAGUCAGAGGCGAUGAAGGACGUGCUAAUCUGCGAAAAGCGUCGGUAAGGUGAUAUGAACCGUUACAGCCGGCGAUGUCCGAAUGGGGAAACCCAGUGCAAUUCGUUGCACUAUCGUUAACUGAAUACAUAGGUUAACGAGGCGAACCGGGGGAACUGAAACAUCUAAGUACCCCGAGGAAAAGAAAUCAACCGAGAUUCCCCCAGUAGCGGCGAGCGAACGGGGAGCAGCCCGGAGUCUGAAUCAGCUUGUGUGUUAGUGGAAGCGUCUGGAAAGUCGCAGGGUACAGGGUGAUACUCCCGUACACUAAAACACACAGGUUGUGAACUCGAAGAGUAGGGCGGGACACGUGGUAUCCUGUCUGAAUAUGGGGGGACCAUCCUCCAAGGCUAAAUACUCCUGACUGACCGAUAGUGAACCAGUACCGUGAGGGAAAGGCGAAAAGAACCCCGGCGAGGGGAGUGAAAAAGAACCUGAAACCGUGUACGUACAAGCAGUAGGAGCCCACUAGUUGGGUGACUGCGUACCUUUUGUAUAAUGGGUCAGCGACUUAUAUUCUGUAGCAAGGUUAACCGUAUAGGGGAGCCGCAGGGAAACCGAGUCUUAACUGGGCGUUAAGUUGCAGGGUAUAGACCCGAAACCCGGUGAUCUAGCCAUGGGCAGGUUGAAGGUUGGGUAACACUAACUGGAGGACCGAACCGACUAAUGUUGAAAAAUUAGCGGAUGACUUGUGGCUGGGGGUGAAAGGCCAAUCAAACCGGGAGAUAGCUGGUUCUCCCCGAAAGCUAUUUAGGUAGCGCCUCGUGAACUCAUCUUCGGGGGUAGAGCACUGUUUCGGCUAGGGGGUCAUCCCGACUUACCAACCCGAUGCAAACUACGAAUACCGAAGAAUGUUAUCACGGGAGACACACGGCGGGUGCUAACGUCCGUCGUGAAGAGGGAAACAACCCAGACCGCCAGCUAAGGUCCCAAAGUCAUGGUUAAGUGGGAAACGAUGUGGGAAGGCCCAGACAGCCAGGAUGUUGGCUUAGAAGCAGCCAUCAUUUAAAGAAAGCGUAAUAGCUCACUGGUCGAGUCGGCCUGCGCGGAAGAUGUAACGGGGCUAAACCAUGCACCGAAGCUGCGGCAGCGACACUAUGUGUUGUUGGGUAGGGGAGCGUUCUGUAAGCCGUUGAAGGUGGCCUGUGAGGGUUGCUGGAGGUAUCAGAAGUGCGAAUGCUGACAUAAGUAACGAUAAUGCGGGUGAAAAACCCGCACGCCGGAAGACCAAGGGUUCCUGUCCAACGUUAAUCGGGGCAGGGUGAGUCGACCCCUAAGGCGAGGCCGAAAGGCGUAGUCGAUGGGAAACAGGUUAAUAUUCCUGUACUUGGUGUUACUGCGAAGGGGGGACGGAGAAGGCUAUGUUGGCCGGGCGACGGUUGUCCCGGUUUAAGCAUGUAGGCGGAUGUUCCAGGUAAAUCCGGAACGUUACUAACGCUGAGGUGUGAUGACGAGGCACUACGGUGCUGAAGUGACAAAUGCCCUGCUUCCAGGAAAAGCCUCUAAGCAUCAGGUAACAUCAAAUCGUACCCCAAACCGACACAGGUGGUCAGGUAGAGAAUACCAAGGCGCUUGAGAGAACUCGGGUGAAGGAACUAGGCAAAAUGGUGCCGUAACUUCGGGAGAAGGCACGCUGAUGGUAGGUGAAGUGACUUGCUCAUGGAGCUGAAAUCAGUCGAAGAUACCAGCUGGCUGCAACUGUUUAUUAAAAACACAGCACUGUGCAAACACGAAAGUGGACGUAUACGGUGUGACGCCUGCCCGGUGCCGGAAGGUUAAUUGAUGGGGUUAUCCUCGCGGAGAAGCUCUUGAUCGAAGCCCCGGUAAACGGCGGCCGUAACUAUAACGGUCCUAAGGUAGCGAAAUUCCUUGUCGGGUAAGUUCCGACCUGCACGAAUGGCGUAAUGAUGGCCAGGCUGUCUCCACCCGAGACUCAGUGAAAUUGAACUCGCUGUGAAGAUGCAGUGUACCCGCGGCAAGACGGAAAGACCCCGUGAACCUUUACUAUAGCUUGACACUGAACACUGGUCCUUGAUGUGUAGGAUAGGUGGGAGGCUUUGAAGUGUGGACGCCAGUCUGCAUGGAGCCAUCCUUGAAAUACCACCCUUUAAUGGCUGGUGUUCUAACGUGGGCCCGUGAUCCGGGUUGCGGACAGUGUCUGGUGGGUAGUUUGACUGGGGCGGUCUCCUCCUAAAGAGUAACGGAGGAGCACGAAGGUCAGCUAAUCCUGGUCGGACAUCAGGAGGUUAGUGCAAUGGCAUAAGCUGGCUUGACUGCGAGCGUGACGGCGCGAGCAGGUGCGAAAGCAGGUCAUAGUGAUCCGGUGGUUCUGAAUGGAAGGGCCAUCGCUCAACGGAUAAAAGGUACUCCGGGGAUAACAGGCUGAUACCGCCCAAGAGUUCAUAUCGACGGCGGUGUUUGGCACCUCGAUGUCGGCUCAUCACAUCCUGGGGCUGAAGUAGGUCCCAAGGGUAUGGCUGUUCGCCAUUUAAAGUGGUACGCGAGCUGGGUUUAGAACGUCGUGAGACAGUUCGGUCCCUAUCUGCCGUGGGCGCUGGAGAAUUGAGGGGGGCUGCUCCUAGUACGAGAGGACCGGAGUGGACGCAUCACUGGUGUUCGGGUUGUCAUGCCAAUGGCAUUGCCCGGUAGCUAAAUGCGGAAGAGAUAAGUGCUGAAAGCAUCUAAGCACGAAACUUGCCCCGAGAUGAGUUCUCCCUGACUCCUUGAGAGUCCUGAAGGAACGUUGAAGACGACGACGUUGAUAGGCCGGGUGUGUAAGCGCAGCGAUGCGUUGAGCUAACCGGUACUAAUGAACCGUGAGGCUUAACCUU